Molecule: small nucleolar RNA, 98 nt
Filed under: Sorghum bicolor (sorghum)
Lineage: Eukaryota; Viridiplantae; Streptophyta; Magnoliopsida; Poales; Poaceae
Description: Plant small nucleolar RNA R71
Rfam family: Plant small nucleolar RNA R71
About the family: R71 is a member of the C/D box family of snoRNAs containing the C (UGAUGA) and D (CUGA) box motifs.
Source: Rfam by way of RNAcentral
AUUCCAUGGUGAGGACAAUCUGAAAUGUAUCCUUGGAAACGCUCCCAUGCUUCUGAAAUGGUUUCUGUCUUCUGAAAUGGUUUCUGUCUUCUGCUGUU